This 485-nucleotide ribosomal RNA is filed under the name Bacillus swezeyi. RNAcentral's name for it is "bacterial SSU rRNA". It matches the Rfam family "Bacterial small subunit ribosomal RNA", at positions 1 to 479 of the family's 1533-position model. Lineage: Bacteria; Bacillati; Bacillota; Bacilli; Caryophanales; Bacillaceae. The record is from RNAcentral.
UUUAUGGAGAGUUUGAUCCUGGCUCAGGACGAACGCUGGCGGCGUGCCUAAUACAUGCAAGUCGAGCGGACCGACGGGAGCUUGCUCCCUUAGGUCAGCGGCGGACGGGUGAGUAACACGUGGGUAACCUGCCUGUAAGACUGGGAUAACUCCGGGAAACCGGGGCUAAUACCGGAUGCUUGAUUGAACCGCAUGGUUCAAUCAUAAAAGGCGGCUUCGGCUGCCGUUUACAGAUGGACCCGCGGCGCAUUAGCUAGUUGGUGAGGUAACGGCUCACCAAGGCGACGAUGCGUAGCCGACCUGAGAGGGUGAUCGGCCACACUGGGACUGAGACACGGCCCAGACUCCUACGGGAGGCAGCAGUAGGGAAUCUUCCGCAAUGGACGAAAGUCUGACGGAGCAACGCCGCGUGAGUGAUGAAGGUUUUCGGAUCGUAAAGCUCUGUUGUUAGGGAAGAACAAGUACCGUUCGAAUAGGGCGGUACC